Molecule: long non-coding RNA, 1043 nt
Filed under: Scleropages formosus (Asian bonytongue)
Lineage: Eukaryota; Metazoa; Chordata; Actinopteri; Osteoglossiformes; Osteoglossidae
Description: lncRNA (ENSSFOG00015026461.1)
Source: RNAcentral
AUGGGUACCUAUGCUUGCAACUCUAUCUUCAGCUCGCCACCAUUUCCCCUUGUCUCUGUCCCGCAAACAUCUCCAAAAGGACGAGGGACUUUGACACACCAGAAAGCAAACCAGCGUUUGACUGAAGAAGUUCUGGACGUGAAUAGCUCUCCAAAGAUUUUGACGGCAGGUGGCAGGUCAGUGACUUUUCUAUCUUUCUACUUGUCUGUGAAACAGAUGCGCUGCUGCACUUUGAAACAUACAGCAUGUUUCAGUGGCGAAUACUAUUGCAAGUUUGGGAUGGACAUUUGGGAAGAACAAGAAUGAGCAAUACUUGAAAAAACACUCAACUGGGUGUCACCUGUGGUUGCUCUGAUGCCAGUGGCUUAUUUUUUUUCAUUGAAAUCAUCUCAGGGAUACAUCUUUGCAGUUUGGCAGCACAGCGAUGCAGCGAGUCACGCUGCCGCCUCACAGCCCCUGGGUGGUGCAAGAAAAAAUGGGGUUUGUCCAGCUGCUCUGGAUUCCCUCCACAGUCCAAAGACAUGCAGUUCAGGUGAACUGGUGUCUCUAAAUUCCCUUUAGGGUCUGUGUGUAUGUGUGGCUACCCUACGAUGGACUGAUGUCCCGCUCCGAGUGUACCCCCCUCAGCCUUGCGUCCAGUGCUUCUGGGAUAGGCUUCGGAUCACCGCGACCCUGCCCAGGACAAAGCGGUUCUGAAAUUGGAUGGAUGGAUCUUUGUGGUUAUGACUUAAUUCUGGCACGUCUCAGGGAUUGCAUGGGUUAAGUGUACGACUUCUUACCGUGCAAAAGUAAAUGCAGCUCUCCAUUAAGGUUCAGUUUGUCUGGGGUGGAAAACACAAAAUUGCCAAAUUUUUAUUUGUGAAGACAUACUGUGUUGACCCUUGUUAAAAUAAGAAAUGCUGAUGUAAAUUGCACAUUAAAAGUAACUUACCACGGGACAGCAGGUAGUGUGGUGGUUAGAGCUGCUGCCUUUGGACCCACAGGUUCAGAUCUCACCUCUGACUAUGACACUCAUGAAUAAAGUGCUCUGAUAAAAUUCCCCA